CACGUAGGCGGCUCAGCCAGUGCGGAGUGAAAGCCCACGGCUCACCCGUGGAUGUGCUUCGCAUACUACUGAGCUCGAGUGCAGGAGAGGAGAGCGGAACUCUUGGUGGAGCGGUGAAAUGCGUAGAUAUCAAGAGGAACACCGAAGGCGAAGGCAGCUCUCUGGCCUGUGUCUGACGCUGAGGUGCGAAAGCCAGGGUAGCGAACG
This 207-nucleotide ribosomal RNA is filed under the name uncultured bacterium. Its description in RNAcentral is "partial 16S ribosomal RNA". It matches the Rfam family "Bacterial small subunit ribosomal RNA", at positions 568 to 774 of the family's 1533-position model. The record is from RNAcentral.